GGCUGGUCCCAGUGCAGUGGUGUUUACUACUAAUUGAUGGCAACCACACAACCAGUUACAGGUUCCUUUGUUCCAUCUCCAUUCCCACUGCUUCACUUGACUAGCCUAAA
Unclassified non-coding RNA from Prolemur simus (greater bamboo lemur), 110 nucleotides. It matches the Rfam family "Y RNA". From Rfam's summary of the family: Y RNAs are components of the Ro ribonucleoprotein particle (Ro RNP), in association with Ro60 and La proteins. The Y RNAs and Ro60 and La proteins are well conserved, but the function of the Ro RNP is not known. The record is from Ensembl. NCBI's taxonomy places the organism in Eukaryota, Metazoa, Chordata, Mammalia, Primates, Lemuridae.